Rhincodon typus (whale shark) is the source of this 10226-nucleotide RNA transcript. It is a transcript of the gene named RNA binding motif protein 45, with no coding region annotated. The record is from RefSeq and is a predicted model, not a curated record. The transcript is spliced from 17 exons. Lineage: Eukaryota; Metazoa; Chordata; Chondrichthyes; Orectolobiformes; Rhincodontidae.
ACGCAGAGUUGGGCGGGAUCUGGUCUUUUGUGUCACGUGACGUGCUGGCGGUUGGUGGUCGGAGUGCAUGCGCUGGAUUCGCGAACAUGGAGGAUAGUGGAAGCUCGCGUCCAAUGGCAAACCUCGAUCACCCCCCCAACAGUCGGCUCUUUCUGGUCAUCAGCAAAUCGACAUCGGAGGAGGUGAUCCGAGAGAACUUUUCUUUCUUCGGUGAUAUCCAGGACAUUUGGGUUGUGCGGGACAAACAGAACAAAGAUCACAAGGGCAUCGCGUACGUGAAGUUCGCCAAAUCGUCGCAGGCCUGUAGAGCGAUGGAGGAGAUGCACGGCAAGGCCUUAACGGAGGACACCAAACCCAUCAAGGUCUUCAUUGCACAGUCUAGAGGAUCUGGCAGCCACCGUGAUGUUGAAGAUGAAGAGUUGACGAGAAUUUUUGUCAUGAUUCCAAAAUCCUAUACAGAAGAUGAUCUGAGGGAAAACUUUAAGGAAUUUGGAGAUAUUGAAUAUUGUAGUGUUAUCAAGAACAAGGGCACAGGAGAGAGCAAAGGCUUUGGCUAUGUGAGGUUUCUGAAACCAUCUCAGGCUGCUCAGGCCAUUGAAAACUGCGAACGAUCUUUUAAGGCAAUACUUGCUGAACCAAGAAACAAACCUGCAUACUCUGAGAAUGACUACAUGAGUGGAACUAGACAAGAUCCUUUGCCUUAUGGAUCAGGAUAUGAUCCUCCCCGAGGUCAAACUGUGUUUCCGUUUGGUGAAUUCACCAACUUUGGAACAAGUGAAAUGAGAGGUGGUGAAAUGAGAGCUGAAAUUAGAAAUGAAAUGAGAGGCGGAGAAAAUAUAUCCGCAUGUCUUUCAGUAUCUACUAGAGGAGUGCUCACUCACGAACAAGUUUAUAGUCUGUUUGAUAUUAUCCCAGGACUGGAAUAUUGUGAAAUUCAGAGAGAUCCCUAUAUGGGUUAUGGCAAAGGAUAUGCUCUUGUUCGGUACAACAAUGUGGCAUCAGCAGUAUAUGCCAAAGAAAAGCUUCAUGGAUUUGAGUAUCCACCUGGUAAUCGACUUGGAGUAAGUUACAUUGAAAGUGAUUCUGGUGAUAGACGACCAAACCCAGUUGGAAUGAUGGCCUUACAACUUGUGGCGGCUCAGAUGAUGACACUGGCCUGUAAUAGUCCUAUUGGUCAACAGAUAAUUCCAGCUUCACCUGGAUAUGGAGGAAGCAGUAAUACGCAGAUGUCUCGGUUGCAGGUUGACUUUUCUUUGCCUGCACCUCAAAACUUUGCUGCUUCUGAUAGUACUGUCAGAGAAAGACUAUUUGUGGUCUUCAACCCAACUGUCCUGCCCCUUGAUAUAUUGGAGGACCUGUUUUGUCGUUUUGGAAAUCUGAUUGAAGUAUAUUUGGUACCAGGACGUAACAUUGGCUAUGUUAAAUAUGCUGAAAGACACAGUGCUACUAAUGCCAUGGAAACUUUACAUGGAAAGGUUGUUAAUGGUAUCAAGCUCAAAGUAAUGCUUGCUGAUCCUCCAAGAGAAGAGUCACAUAAGCGACAACGAACACACUAAGAUGUUCCACAAAAGAUUGUGCAAAGAAUAGCAGGAAGGCAGAUGAAAGCCUCAAUGAAGGUAUGUAUAAUUGUGAAAACAUUGAGUUAACAGUGUGGUGGUAACAUGCACUGUACUGAGUGCCCUGUUCAUCUGAUAUUUCCUGUGGUUACAUGCAGAGUUAUGAUUCAUAUUCAAGGUCACCGAGGCCCUUCUGCAUUGCAGCACGCCUCAGUCUGUCUCAAUUCUACUUCUCUUCUUAUUGUCAAGUGGAUCCCAGGUAGAUGAUGGCAGAGAAGCUUAUGGUGAAGCAAAGCAAGUGAGAGAUGUUUCCAAAGCAGAGUAGAAGAAAUGCACAUUCCACAGAUUUGCAGUAUUAAGUAAGUUUACAAAGUUGGGAAAAUAUGACAUCAUGAACACAAAGGUGAGAACCUUAAUAUUGAGGCAUUGGAAUUGGAGCUAAUAUAGAUCAUCAAGCAUGGGGCUAAUGGACAAAUGGAAUUUUGUUUGAGGCACGAUUUUGGAUGGGUUAAAAUGAAUGCAGUAUGAAAGAUGGAAGGCCAAUGUGGAAUAGCUUUGAAAUAGUUGGACAUAGGAUUGAUCAACAUGAAUGAGAGCUUCGUCAACAGAUGGGGAAGAAAAACGACAAGUGACAUCAUGAAAAUCGAAGUAGAUCUUUGUCAUGCAGAAGAUGUGGGAUUAGAAGCUCUGUCUUUGAGCUAAACAGAAUAGUGAGCUUGUGAACAUUUGAUUUCGCCUCAGAUGCCACUAUGCUGGAUGCAGCUAUUGGUUAGGGAACAGAGUUUGUGAUGUGUAUUGCUAGGGAAGAUGGCUGCAAAAAUUUGGUUUCCCACUGAUCUCGUAAACAUUCCCACAAAACGAUUUUGGGGAAAUAUGAGAAUGGUGAGGUAAACUAGCUUUCAACAGGGUACCUAUGGGAUUUAACUUGUCUUUAUAUAUGUUGCAUGCAGUUGAAAAAUGGGAAGACACCAAGGAGCAAUCCUAGCGGACUUCCAAAGGUAACUAGAGAAGUCAUUGCAGGUGAUCUUUUGUCUAUGACUGAACAGGUAAGGAUGAAACCAGGAAAGGACAAUCUCACUAAAGUGGAUAUAUAUGAAUGUAUGAAUUAGGAGCAGGUGUGGGAAGCUGUGCUUCAUCAAGUCUGUUCCACCAUUUAAUAAGAUUGUGGCUGAUCUGACUACUCCACAGAAGGCACCAGUGAGAAGUAACUUAUGUGAGAAGUCACCACCACUGAGAAGGGGAUCGUGGAAGAUUUGGUGCUCAGCAGCAGGAAGAGCAUCCAACAGAUGGUGUCAGUGAGACGCGAUCAAGGUGGAUUCUGGGAGAAGUCAGUGCAGUCUGCUAGUUUCAAGUAGCAGCCCUACCUUGAUCAGCAGCUGGGCACCAAAUCAGAGAGGCCAGAGGGGGGAGACCGCAACCAGAGCAGGUAAAAACUUGAGUGCAGGACAUUUCGGGCCUAGUUUUGAGUGGUAACAUUACCUUAAUCACAGGGAUAUCAUGGGAGCUGCACUUUGGACACCACAAGUUGAAAAGUGACAUUUUGGACAGAAGGGCUCCUGAUUGGUAAGUAGUGGUCAGGUGAUUCCUUUAUUUCUUGUCUUCAAUUUCCAUUAACCUUUUCAUACUCAUAAGGUUUUAGAAUAGUGUGAUUUAGGCUGUUGGUAGAGUAGUACCUAGAUUGUUGUUUACAGGAUAGUGUAUUUAGUAAUUCUUAGUGAGAAUCUAACAUUAUGGACCAUCUAGUUAGCUGUAGAUUAAUUGAAUUUUACUUCUAAUUAAAUAGCUGCUAGAAGGUAAAAAUUGGAGUCAAUGGGGUAAUAUGCUUCUCAUGCAAAAAGUGGAAAAUCAGACUGUUGGAACAUCCCUGACGUCUACAGCUGCAGGAAGUAUGUCCAGUCGCAUUUCCUGUCAGACCUCGUGGAUUAGUUGGACACAUUUAAGAGCAUGCAGGAGGAGGAAAGUGUCACAGACAGGAGUUUUAGAGAUGUGACCACACCCAAGGUUCAGGCAGAUAGAUGGGUGACCACUAGAAGGGGCAGGCAGACAGUGCACGAGUCCCCUGUGGCUAUCCCUCUCUCUGACAAGUUUUGGAUGCUGUUGGGAAGAUUGCCUGUCAGGGGAUGGUGAUAGUAGCAACCAGAGCAUUGAUAUAACAGCUGGCUCUGUUGUACAGCAAGGAGGGUCAAACUGCAGAAGAGUUGUAGUCAGGGGCACAGAUAGCUAUUUGUGGCGACAAAAGAGGUGGUACGUUGGUUCAAGGAUGUCUCUGAGCGAGUACAGGACAUUCUCAAAAGGGAGGGUGAACGCCAGAAGUCAUGGAAUGUGUUGGUACUAAUGAUAUAGGCAGGAAUAGAGAUAUGGUCCUGCAGAGGGAGUUCAGGUUUUUAAAUAGUAAGUUGAAAAGCAGGACCUCUAGGGUUGUAAUCUCAGCAUUACUCCCUUUGCCACAUGCUAGUGGAGCUAGGAAUAGGAAGAUAGUACAGUUUAAAAAUGUGGCUAAAGAGCUGGUGUAUGAGAGAGGGCUUAGAUAUGUGGAUUAUUGGGAUGUCUUCCAGGGCAGGUGGGACCUGUACAGAAAAACAGGUUGUGCCUAAACUGAGGGGUACCAAUAUCUUUGCAGGGAGGUUUGCUGGUUUACUUGAGAAGGUUAAAACUAGUGCGGUGGAGGUGGCAGCCAGAGCAGUUGGUCAGCAAGUGAAAUUCCCAAGGAGGAGUUAGAGAUUAAAGCCAGUAAGGCUAAGAGGAAGAACAGACAGGCAGAGGUUACUGAACAUGGAAAGUCUGGCAGUCUGAAGUGUAUUUAUUUUAAUGCGAGGAGUAUGACAGGUAAGGCAGAUGAAUUUAGAGCUUGGAUUAGUGCACUUAACUACAAUGUAGUUAUUACAGAGACUUGGUUGAGAGAAGGGCAAGACUGGCAGCUUAAUGUUCCAGGAUUUAGAUGUUUCUAAACAUUUUUCUAUGUUUAGAGAUAGCGAGGGACGUAAAUGACAUUGGGCAGUUGUGUUGUCGAUUAGGGAGAAUAUCACAGCUAUGCUGAGGGAGGACACCUGGGAGAGCUCAUCCAGCAAGGCAUAAUGGGUCGAGUUCAGCAAUAGGAUGGUGCAAUUACUUUGGUGAUGUACUGCAGGCCUCCCAACAGCCAGCAGGAAAUGGAGGAACAGAUGUGUGGACAGAUUAUGGAAAAAUGUAAAAGCCACAGGGUGGUUGUGGUGAGAAAUUUUUACUUUCCCUAUACUGAUUGGGACUUCCUUAGUACCUGGGGCUUGGGGAGGAUUUAUUACGUGCGUUCAGGAGGGUUUCUUGAAGCAAUAUGUAAAUAGUCCAGCUAGUGAAGGGGCAUUUUAGACCUGGCACUGGGGAAUGGGGCUAGCCAGGUGGCCUAAAUUUCGUUGACUUUAGGAACAGUGACCUUAAUUCUACAAGUUAAGUUACUUAUGGAUAAGGAUAAUAGUAGUUCAGUACUAAAUUGGGGGAAGGCUAACUAUCACAAUUUAGGCAGAAACUGGGGAAUGCAGAUUGAGGGGUGUUUGAGGGUAAAUCCACAUCUGGCAUGUGGGAAUCUUUUUAAAGACCAGUUGAUUGAGUUCAGAAAUCAGUACGUUCCUGUUAAAAUGAAGAAUAAGGAUGGCAAGAUUUGAGAAUCUUGGAUGACAAGAGAAAUUAUGUGCUCAGAAAGAAAAAGGUGGCAUAUGUAUGGCUUAGGAACUUGAAGACAGAAAAAUAUAAAUAAAGCAGGAAAGAGCUUGAAUAAGGAGUUAGGAGGACUAAAAUGGGCCAAGAAAUGAUCUUGGCAAAUAGGAUUAAGGAAAAUCCCAAGGCAUUUUAUAUGUACAUGGGGAGCAAGAGGGGUAGCUAGGUAAAGAGUAGGUCUACUCAAUGACAAAGGACAAAAUUUAUGCAUGCAGUCAGAGGAAGUGGGUGAACUACGUAAUGGAUAUUUUACAUCUGUAUUCACAAAGGAGAAGGACAUGAUGGAGGGUGAGUCUAGGGAAUGGUGUGUUGAUAUUCUAGAUGUUCUCCUGUUCUCCUGUUUUCAAUUUCAAUUCAUCUAACAUUUAUUUGCUUUAACACAUUUGCUUUAUAUCCCUGCUAAUCUAUCUUGUUCUUAUGUCUUGGAAUAUGGCCAAUGCAACAUUUGUUUCUUUUUUCCUGAUGAUAUGCCAAAGUUAUCUCUCCGCCUUCACCAUCCUGAGAACUUCAUUGUUAUUGACUCACUCCUUUCUUCAGAACCACAUUUCAAAACUUUAUGUUCAGCAUAAGAAUGGUUAAAAGUCUUCAGAAGAGAAUAAUCAGGAUUGAGAUUUGAAGUUGCUCAUUGUAUAGUGCUGACACGUGGAUCUUAAGAAAAUUAGAUAUCCUGACAUUGAAUGGGUAGGAUUAUGCUGAAAAAAAUUUAUAAAUGGCCUUUGUGUGAAGCAGACUUGUUUGGUUGAUGACUUUUUUAAAUUCUCCCCAUGUAUUCUCACGUCUUCAUCUUUCUGUUCUGACAUAAUUUUGUAGCUAUGAAGCAAGAGUUAAACAUGAUAAAACAGUAAAAUCUAUAUGUAAGCACCAAGACAUAAAACAGUUGAUGCUCUGUUACCAAAGCAGAUAUAGGGAGGAAGCUGUCUUCUAUUGCUGUUUCAGCAGAAGCAUCAUAGAGUCAUUGAACAUACAGAUUGUUCAGGAAUAGCCUCAGAAGUUCCAGUUUAUGAUCAGAACAGAGGUGAUACUUGUAUUGCAACAACCCUAAAUAUUUAUAAAACUCAACAUUUGAAGUUCCUCAGUGAGGACAUAAGGUGCUUAAAAAAUUAACUUGAAUCUGUUAAUGAUGCAAUAAUCGAUUACUUUAAUUUAGAUAUUUUCUCAGAACAAAAUAGGGAAAAUGAAGACCACAGAGUUAGAACAUCUAAGGAAGGCUUGAAAAGUCCAGAAGGAAAUUAUACGUAGGAUGCAAAAUUCUGUAUCAAUAAAGAAACAUUGUUUAGCCAGUUGAAACCUACAAAGAAUCAUUGAUAGAUGAAAUAAAACAUGAAGGUGUUUGUCAAUUUUAUAAGUCUUUUGACUACUUAAGUAAUCAGGCAGAUAAAAAAAGCAACGUAGAACAGAAAGGUUUAGGCCUUUGAGCUUAGUGCUGAAGAAACAACAGUUAAUAGAGAAAGAGAGUAUUACAAAUGGGAGCAAAUGAAGACUUGAACUCAUUCGUUAGAUAUGUAAAACUGUCCAUUGACACGUUUAAGAUUUUAUUCUAUCUUGCAUUUUAAUAAAUGGAACAUCUUAAAUUAUUUCUGUUUAGAUUUUGUUUCACUUCAUGUACUUUUGCAAUUACAUUUUGUCACCAAUUACUUUUUUGGUUAAGUUUUGCUGCAAUAAAAUACCUGUUUUCAUACACACCCAAAGGAUGACCUGAAGUUCUUUGUCACUGUUCUGUAGGCCUAUAUGGAACUUAUUUUACAUAUAAGAAACAAUUAGAUAAUUAGCUAAUCUGAUAAAUUUCCAGUUGAAGGCAAAAACCCUACAAUAAUUUAAGAAUCAAUUGAUACCACAAUGGAUGGAUGAAUUAAAUUGGCUCGGGGGUUCUUCCUCAUCCAUCCUCAUCUUGUGACCUGUAAGGUAUAUGUAACAGCAUGCCUAAGAGAUUUGGUUAAAGUGUUCUUAUUCCCACACUUUUUAGGAACAUGAACAUAAAGGAUAAAAUGUUAACAUUUACUGACUUCAAAUUACAGCUACAGAAAGUACUGUGAUGGAGAAAGGAAAUGUACACUAAAUUAUAAAAUUCCCAGCGGCAUACAAGAAUGGAGAUUUGGAUGUGCAUGUAUCAUUUUUCAAUAAAGUCACUAUUUUGAUGUUGAACGUACACAAGAACUGAGAUGUGUGGUUAGAGCCGCAAAAAUAGUUCCUUCAAACUGAAAUCAAUUGACACAGCAGAAAAUGCAAGAAAUUGUGGAUGUAAUCAUUUCGUAUAUCCUGAAUGGCGGCAAAGGAUACUCCAAAGACAUGAUAGCAAGUCAAGACAGGAAGGCAUAACAUUUUUACAUAGUUGUCAAUAAUUUUGAUGACCAAAAGAAGUUAGUCUGCUGACUAUGAUAGAUACCAAAAAGGCAAGAAUGAACAAUAAUGAGCACAUCCAUGUACUCUGUCAUCAUGCAUGUUUAGAGCUUUGGGAUUGCAUUACAAUCACUAAAUUAGAAGAAAAGGAAGGAUCUGUGAUCUUGACAGCAGAAGCCAAAAGGAAGGAUUUAAUUGAAAACUAGGGGGAACUUAAAAUAAGCCCAAGCCUGGAUAUUGUCCAGAUCUUGUUGCAUUUGAACAUGGACUGCUUCAAUAUCAGAGGAGUUGUGAAUGGUGCUGAACAUUGUGCAAUCAUUGGUGAACAUCUCCAUUUCUGACCUUAUGAUGAAGGGAAAGUCAUUGAUGAAGCAGCUAAAGAUAGUUGGGCCUAGGACACUACCCUGAGGAACUCCUGCAGAGAUGUCCUGGAGCUGAGAUGACUGACCUCCAACAACCACGUCUAUCUUACUAUGUCUCAGAUUUGGAUGGAUUUAGAACAUUUGCAGUGGACCGGUUCAGGAAUGCGAUGGUGGGGUAUAGCUGGGUAGUAGUAAACAUUUCGGGAAGCCAACUCCCUGACUGGAUGAUGGUGGCUGAUACAACUGCAGAUGUAAAUUAAAUGACUGGAGAGAGGAAGAGCGAACCAUGGAAUUCCACCCUUACAGACACAAAGGGAACUUCAAACAACAGCCCUUCAAAGGUUUAAAGAGUUCUAGAAGACAGCUAGCUCGAAGCCAGACUAGAGGAAAACGGGACAAUGCACAGACUCUCUCUCGUCCUGAAAAUCAUUGAUGGUCAAAAGGGAUCAGAACUAUAGAAUCUCAACGAAUCUCCAAAACUAAGGACUGUGAGGCUGACUUUUCAACCACUAAUAUCAAUGUUACUGCUAAUCUCAAUUACUACUACCGCAAUGUUCAACCAUCUAAUCCGGUUUUUUUAAAUAUUUAUCUUUAUGGACUCCCCUCUUAUUUCUAAUAUGUGUAUAUGUAUUGCAUUUCUAGUUCUUCAUACAUAUAGCAAUUAAUAAAUUCACUUUUUUGUAAAUUCAAGAAAACCUGAUUAAAUUAGCUCCUUGUAAAACAUAAGUUAAUGUGGUUUGGGAGAAAGGCAUUCACAAGGGAAAGAAUCAUUUUAUCAUAAAUUUGUUGCAACUAGUAGAGGAAGUAGCCAAAAGGGGAGCCAGUUCAUCUCUCUUCUGCCAGGAGCUUAACAAUUCCUGCCUGGUAUCAUAUGAACUGGAGAAACUUGCUCUCUUGUGUAUUAUCAGAGGAAACCACAAAGGAUAAUCAUAUCUGUCAUGGGGAAAACCAAUGAAUAAAUCUUAUUGCUUGAAUUGACACAAUUCCUUUGUAAGCCAGCAAGUGCCUAUGAAUAAUGAGAUAAAAAGGGGAUGAAAAUGAGUUGAAACAAAUUUAAAUAUUCCUAAGUACUAAUGAUUAACUACACUGUUUUGGUUUAGUUUUAAAUUGUUAACAUUAUUAAAGCAUUUUAUAACCCAACUGUCUUUUAAUGUAUUGUGUACAAAUAUGUCAGUUUACGCUAUCAUUUAAAUUUUCAAGCUGAUAGGAAUUGUGUAAAAGUAGCUUGUUAAUUCUCAUUUUCCAGUGUUUGGAGUUACCCACCAUUUUGUAUCAAUGUACAUGUGGUAAAUGUCAAUUCGGAAUGUAUCUGUAAAUGUGAUUCUUAAUUUAUUCUCCUUUACAGAUCAUGGAAAUUGAUUGAAGACUAGGAAAUAAGAGUGGUGAUUUUCAACAUAUCAAAUCCUUUAGAAUGAUGUAUAAUUUUAUUGCACUCAAUUAUCAAGUUAUUACUUCCAUUUUCUUUUUGUCAGCAUUUGUGUUCAUGCUGUUUCAAAGAACAGCCAAAUUCUUGUAAAAGAAGCACACUCAUAUUCUGAUGAAGGGUCUAGGCCCGAAACGUCAGCUUUUCUGCUCCUAUGAUGCUGCUUGGCCUGCUAUGUUCAUCCAGCUCUGCACCUUGUUGUCUCGGAUUCUCCAGCAUCUGCAGUUCCUACUAUCUCUCUCACAUUCAUAUUCUAUUGCAGAUAUGUCAAUAAUAUCAAGAUGAAAGAUCUGGCAUCAUAUUAGGAAGUAUUCACAGCCAAAUGCCAAGGUAGCCAAGGUAGGCCAAAUGCUCAAUUCUUAUGAUUAUGCUUCACAUGAACUUCCUCCCACACUUCUUCAUCUAACUCCAUUAAGAUCUGAUUCCAUUUCAUUUUUUUAAAAAAAUGAGGACUUGGGAGAGCUAGCAGCAGCUGUGAUAAUGUAAUUAUGCAUCUUCCAUACCUACAGCAGAGGGUAGGGGAUUUCUGGAGGAGUCAACAAAAAUAAAAAAAAUCUAAAUUUGCUCUGAAAUUAAACAUUAAGUACAACUAGAUAUCCAAAAUCCUGAAGUAAAGUGUUUCUUUCCUGAACUUCAGCAUGAUUCUGUCAAACCAUAGUUUGUGGUUUCAUCUGUUAUGUAUGAUGGUAUCUUCAACUCAGAGUAUAGGUGCUUUGGGAGCUAAGCUCAUUUUUAAUUAGCAAACUUCAGUUAUGCUACCAUAAUUAUAUUUUUAUUUGUAGUCAACAAAUAACAAACAACAAUACAGCACGGGAACAGGCCCUUUGAACAUCCAAGCCUGCGCCAACAAGUUUUGCC